Molecule: ribosomal RNA, 491 nt
Filed under: uncultured bacterium
Lineage: Bacteria
Description: bacterial SSU rRNA
Rfam family: Bacterial small subunit ribosomal RNA
Source: RNAcentral
GACGAACGCUGGCGGCAAGCUUAACACAUGCAAGUCGAACGGAUUAUUCUUUAUAGCUUGCUAUAAAGAAUAAUUAGUGGCAGACGGGUGAGUAAUGCAUAGGAAUCUACCUAGUAGUAUGGGAUAGCCACUAGAAAUGGUGGGUAAUACUGUAUAAUCCCUGCGGGGGAAAGAUUUAUCGCUAUUAGAUGAGCCUAUGUUAGAUUAGCUAGUUGGUAGGGUAAAGGCCUACCAAGGCGAUGAUCUAUAGCUGGUCUGAGAGGAUGAUCAGCCACACUGGAACUGAGAUACGGUCCAGACUCCUACGGGAGGCAGCAGUGGGGAAUAUUGGACAAUGGGCGCAAGCCUGAUCCAGCUAUGCCGCGUGAGUGAGGAAGGCCUUAGGGUUGUAAAACUCUUUCAGUAGGGAAGAUAAUGACGGUACCUACAGAAGAAGUCCCGGCAAACUCCGUGCCAGCAGCCGCGGUAAUACGGAGGGGGCAAGCGUUGUU